UAAAUUCUCUAGUGGCGCACGGGUGAGUAACACGUGAGGUAACCUGCCCCCGAGAGCGGGAUAGCCCUGGGAAACUGGGAUUAAUACCGCAUAGUAUCGAAAGAUUAAAGCAGCAAUGCGCUUGGGGAUGGGCUCGCGGCCUAUUAGUUAGUUGGUGAGGUAACGGCUCACCAAGGCGAUGACGGGUAGCCGGUCUGAGAGGAUGUCCGGCCACACUGGAACUGAGACACGGUCCAGACACCUACGGGAGGCAGCAG
This 257-nucleotide ribosomal RNA is filed under the name uncultured bacterium. Its description in RNAcentral is "partial 16S ribosomal RNA". It matches the Rfam family "Bacterial small subunit ribosomal RNA", at positions 84 to 354 of the family's 1533-position model. The record is from RNAcentral.